Molecule: long non-coding RNA, 447 nt
Filed under: Suricata suricatta (meerkat)
Lineage: Eukaryota; Metazoa; Chordata; Mammalia; Carnivora; Herpestidae
Description: lncRNA (ENSSSUG00005018743.1)
Source: RNAcentral
CCUGGCCAUGGUGGGCCGGAAUUGCCAGCCCAGAGGCUCAAAAUGUCCACAUCCACUUCGGCUGCCCUGUCACCUGCUGCGUUCCGUGGUAAUCUUGGUCUGCUAUACAUCCAAGCAGGCUGUGAACUGUCACUGGGACCAGUACCCUUGACCUUUCUCACAGGUGGCCACUUUGAAGGCUCAGGCUCGUCCUCACUCGGCCCUUCCUCAUCACUGUUGGCUUUCAGCUCACCCGCCCGACAUCCUGUGGACGCUGCAGUUCAGACAAACAGCAAGAUCAUCAAAGAGAAGAGCAUGAAUGAAAAACUGCUUUAUGACAUGCCUUCAAAGUGUCUUUUUAGAAGUUCAAAGGAUGUGGAGAGGAGGCAGGGGAAUCAAAGACGAUGGGGGAGAGCAAUGAACUCUCUAAGGGAUCGUCGGGUUUUUCAUUGUAUAUUUUCUGUGACG